This 520-nucleotide ribosomal RNA is filed under the name uncultured delta proteobacterium. RNAcentral describes it as "bacterial SSU rRNA". It matches the Rfam family "Bacterial small subunit ribosomal RNA", at positions 28 to 523 of the family's 1533-position model. Lineage: Bacteria; Deltaproteobacteria. The record is from RNAcentral.
AACGAACGCUGGCGGCGUGCCUAAGACAUGCAAGUCGUGCGGAAAGGCUCCUUUCGGGAGUACUCGAGCGGCGCACGGGUGAGUAACACGUGGGUAAUCUGCCUGCGGGUCUGGGAUAACCCCGGGAAACUGGGGCUAAUACCGGAUGAGACCACGGAGCCCUGGGGCUCUGCGGCCAAAGAUGGCCUCUCCUUGGAAGCUAUCGCCCCACAGAUGAGCCCCGCGUCCCAUUAGCUAGUUGGCGGGGUAACGGCCCACCAAGGCGACGAUGGGUAGCUGGUCUGAGAGGAUGAUCAGCCACACUGGAACUGAGACACGGUCCAGACUCCUACGGGAGCAGCAGUCGGGAAUUUUGGGCAAUGGGCGAAAGCCUGACCCAGCAACGCCGCGUGAGGGAUGAAGGCCUUCGGGUCGUAAACCUCUGUCGGGAGGGGCGAAAGGUCGACGAGCGAAUAGGUCGGCGGCUUGACGGUACCUCCAAAGGAAGCGCCGGCUAACUCCGUGCCAGCAGCCGCGGUAA